UACGGAGGGGGCUAGCGUUGUUCGGAAUUACUGGGCGUAAAGCGCGCGUAGGCGGCUACUUAAGUCGGAUGUGAAAGCCCCUGGCUCAACUGGGGAAGUGCACCCGAAACUGAGUGGCUUGAGUGCGAAAGAGGGUCGCGGAAUUCCCGGUGUAGAGGUGAAAUUCGUAGAUAUCGGGAGGAACACCGGUGGCGAAGGCGGCGACCUGGGUCGACACUGACGCUGAGGCGCGAAAGCGUGGGGAGCAAACAGG
This 253-nucleotide ribosomal RNA is filed under the name uncultured bacterium. Its description in RNAcentral is "partial 16S ribosomal RNA". It matches the Rfam family "Bacterial small subunit ribosomal RNA", at positions 524 to 776 of the family's 1533-position model. The record is from RNAcentral.